Molecule: non-coding RNA, 1252 nt
Organism: Microcebus murinus (gray mouse lemur)
Lineage: Eukaryota; Metazoa; Chordata; Mammalia; Primates; Cheirogaleidae
Source: RefSeq, a predicted model, not a curated record
UGACUGCAGCCCACGCUCUCCCAACCAGAAGUGGCCUCCUGCCUGGUGGGAGCGUCCUCCCGGCCAGCUAGUGCCCCCUUAACCUAGUCUGCCAUCCUGCAGCACCCUUUCUAACCGGGGCCACCUACAAAGGAAGUGGGGCACAGACUAAUGGGCCCUGUGCCCAGAAGGGAGGAGGAGGAAGAAAAAAUGGGGUACUUAGGGUGCCCUACCCACCCACAGGCAGGCCCCAGACCACAGCUGGAGAUAUCCAAAUGUUAAUCACCAAUUAGCACAGUUCAGGUGGAAAGGGCAACUCUAUUAUGUGUAAAAUGAACUUAAUGUGGCAGGAGCUGUGGGCUUAAUUUCUUGAGAUAAGAUGCUUUUAGGCUAAUCAGCGGGUCUAAGAUGCCUGGAUAUAAAGGAGCUGGGCAGACUUCUUCAGCAGUCUCCGAAGGUCCAGAAGUAGGAGGAAGGGACCCCCAUCCUGUCCUUCUGGAAGAGCUGGAAAGAAAGUCUGGAAAUAACCCUGGAAGAUGGUGGCCAUGAAGAUGUUCUCUAUGCUGCUGGUGCUCCUGUUCUUGGCAGUGGGGUUUGGAGAGAAGGAAGAGGACCGUCCCUUCAGAUCCUAUGCUAAGGUGAGUGGCUCCCGACCUCAAGGCCCAAGGUAUGCCGAGGGGACUUUCAUCAGUGACUACAGUAUUGCCAUGGACAAGAUCCGCCAACAAGACUUUGUGAACUGGCUGCUGGCUCAAAAGGGGAAGAAGAAUGACUGGAAACACAACAUCACCCAGAGGGAGGCCCGGGCCCUGGAGCUCACUGGUCAGUCUACCAGGAAGGAGGAGGAGGCAGCUGGGCAGCAGAGCUCCCCACCCAGGAACCCCAGUGAUGAAGAUUUGCUAAGGGAUUUGCUGAUUCAAAAGCUGCUGGCCUGGAUGGUGGAUCUCACAGAGCUCGGCAAGCUCAGCCACUUCUGGACUCAAUGAUCUCUUGAAUCCACCGUACCAGCUAGGAAAUCCUUCAAUCUAUCCAUCAUGUCCCAGAAUCAAGGGACUAAAUAUUAUGGAGAGACCCAUCCACCUAAAGGGUCUCGGUGACUGACCAAGCCCAGCUCAAGACUGGACUCUGUCCUUCACUUACUCAGCCCCUGCCUCAGCCCCUCUGGUGAACCCACGAGAAGGCAAACCAAUAAAGUUUACUCUGGGAUAAAUCGCUGUGCCCAGUGUGAAAACUUAUUCAAAUGUUUACUGAGUGCUAACAGGGCAUGUUUUUU